This 253-nucleotide ribosomal RNA is filed under the name uncultured bacterium. Its description in RNAcentral is "partial 16S ribosomal RNA". It matches the Rfam family "Bacterial small subunit ribosomal RNA", at positions 524 to 776 of the family's 1533-position model. The record is from RNAcentral.
UACGUAGGGCGCAAGCGUUAUCCGGAAUUAUUGGGCGUAAAGGGCGCGUAGGCGGCCCGCUAAGUCGAACGUGAAAUCCCCGGGCUUAACCCGGGAACUGCGUCCGAUACUGGCAGGCUUGAAUCCGGGAGAGGGAUGUGGAAUUCCAGGUGUAGCGGUGAAAUGCGUAGAUAUCUGGAGGAACACCGGUGGCGAAGGCGGCAUCCUGGACCGGUAUUGACGCUGAGGCGCGAAAGCUAGGGGAGCAAACGGG